ACAUAAGACAUGCAAGUGAACGGAUUAACCAUAGUUUACUAUUGAGCGGUUAGUGGCGGACUGGUGAGUAACACGUAAGCGAACCUAGCCUAUCAGAGGGGAACGAACAGUUAGAAAUGACUGCUAAUACCGCAUAUACCUAAGCAUCGCAUGAUGCAAUAGGAAAGGAGCAAUCCGCUGAUAGAUGGGCUUGCGUCUGAUUAGAUAGUUGGUGGGGUAAUGGCCUACCAAGUCGACGAUCAGUAGCCGGACUGAGAGGUUAAACGGCCACAUUGGGACUGAGAUACGGCCCAGACUCCUACGGGAGGCAGCAGUCGGGAAUAUUGCGCAAUGGAGGAAACUCUGACGCAGUGACGCCGCGUGCAGGAAGAAGGUUUUCGGAUUGUAAACUGCUUUAGACAGGGAAGAAACAAGACAGUACCUGUAGAAUAAGCUCCGGCUAACUACGUG
Molecule: ribosomal RNA, 450 nt
Filed under: uncultured Eubacteriales bacterium
Lineage: Bacteria; Bacillati; Bacillota; Clostridia; Eubacteriales
Description: bacterial SSU rRNA
Rfam family: Bacterial small subunit ribosomal RNA
Source: RNAcentral